UGCAGAUUCACUGGCAGCCUUGGGGAUACAACUCGUUUCUGCACCGCCCUUCCUGCCUUUGGAGAUCCUGCAAAUCACCCCGGUCAGCCAUGACAGCAUGAUUUACAACCUCGAGUUUCACGCACGAGCUGGGAGCUGUGGCUGGAGACGGAGCAUGUGAACACGCCCUGCGGCAGCCAGUUCCUCGGCGUGGUCUCUCCUUCUGAACGCUGACGAGCAUCUUUGCUCAUGGAAGCCAGUUGCCAGACUAGGAUCCCACAUCUCUGGAGGUGACGAGGUUGAGUCCAAUCCCACAGCCCGCUGAUGGCCUAGCUGAGUCCCCAAGUCCAGCUGUGAGGCAGUCAGGUGGUCUCAGCUCCUCAGCCUCCUGUUGUGAUGGUCACUCGCACCUCCUCCCAGGCGCUCUGCUGACUGCUUCGCAGAACUCUAAGCGCUCUCAGAGAAUGACAGGCCGAGUGCCUGGACCUCU
This is a long non-coding RNA of Equus quagga, 469 nucleotides long. RefSeq lists it as uncharacterized. The record is from RefSeq and is a predicted model, not a curated record. The transcript is spliced from 4 exons. NCBI's taxonomy places the organism in Eukaryota, Metazoa, Chordata, Mammalia, Perissodactyla, Equidae.